This 75-nucleotide transfer RNA is filed under the name Xanthobacteraceae bacterium. RNAcentral's name for it is "tRNA-Val". It matches the Rfam family "tRNA". From Rfam's summary of the family: Transfer RNA (tRNA) molecules are approximately 80 nucleotides in length. Their secondary structure includes four short double-helical elements and three loops (D, anti-codon, and T loops). Lineage: Bacteria; Pseudomonadati; Pseudomonadota; Alphaproteobacteria; Hyphomicrobiales; Xanthobacteraceae. The record is from RNAcentral.
GCGUCUUUAGCUCAGCGGCAGAGCGCUGCUCCGACACAGCAGAGGCGGAACGUUCAACUCGUUCAAGACGCACCA